This 1380-nucleotide long non-coding RNA is filed under the name Glycine max (soybean). RNAcentral's name for it is "long non-coding RNA (GMAX_LNC001197)". Lineage: Eukaryota; Viridiplantae; Streptophyta; Magnoliopsida; Fabales; Fabaceae. The record is from RNAcentral.
CCCAAAAGGAAAGCAACACACAGAGUAUGUACAGCAUGGUUAGCUAUGACCCAUGCAGCAUGCAUCCACAUAUAUAAAGUGCGUAGUAGCUGAUAGUGCCUUUGUAGUGGUGAAUAAUUCUGUUAGGAUUGCGCUAUCUUUUUGGUUAUUAUUGUCGGGAACUUGUUCCCUAGUAGUGAGUAUAUAAGGGUAUGUAUCGCCUUCUGCAAGAAGGAAUGAAAAAUAUCAGAAAAGUCGCCUCUCUCUCUCGCUCUCGCUCUCCUUCUUCUCUUAUGGAGGUUCCUAGCCCUUGAAGCUAGUUCUCUUUCUCGUGCUUGGUUCCUAACAUUUGGUGCUCUCGUUGAGAGUCCAUGGCCGCCAUACCCAUUUCCACACACCUUCGUUGCCGCACACCCCUCCUCCCUUUGUACAUCCAGCUCAAUCCCUUGGGAUUGAUUUUGAGAGUACCCGCAAACAUUUGCUGAGCUUGUUCGAUCCCGAGAGAACCCUUCCUUCAUUUCAGCAACCACCAAACGGAGCUUCCAUGGCUGCCACUUGCCAUACGGAGCUUCCAUGGCUGCCACUCGCUGUACGGAGCUUCCACCUUCCACUACCACCACCCACACUACUUGUCGCCAAACGAAGCUUCAAUGGCUGCUGAGGACCGCCUUGAGGUCGCCUUGGCCAAACUUGAUGCCACUACAUGCCGCCUCGACUCCCAACUGGACGCCCUUCUCCUUAAACUGCCUCCGAGAACCAACCACCACCUUCCAUCUUCUUCCUUUGCGCAGUCACCACCGCCGCCUUCGCUUUCCAUACCGACUUGGCCUCCAUGCUCCGCACCCAUACAACCAAGUCCUGCACCGUUACUGCCUCUAUCACAGACUCCGCCACCUUCGUUGUUGCCUCCGCCGCUCAAGCCAACUCCAUCACCCAGGCUCACCGCACCCACGACCGUGCCACCUCCACCAGCCAUGAUGCCUCCGCUGCCCCCUACGCCACCACUUCCGCCUUUGGUACCCAUACAGCCGCAGCCAACAACCUUGCCGGGCCCGCUUCCUAUGCUGGUUUUUCAUCUGUCCGGUCUCGUUCGCACCACCAUUUCCUUCAACAAGCUCUUCACCAUUGUUCCUCCUUAUGGGGCUGCCAUGGCCGCAUACAAGCUCCCAUCAGUGGUCGUUGCAUUAUGCACAACUACUAAACCAGGUGCAAUUCGCCGAAAUAAACCUUGGGAUCCUGGUAUCACUUGUGGAGGCAAUGCGUGGAACCCCAACACCUUGAGGACAAGGUGUUUUUGAUGAGGGCGGGAAUGAUAGGGAUAGUAAUAUGGGACUACAGGAAGUAAGGGGUCUGCAAGAAGCAAAAAGCAUGAGUGAGACCCAAAAGGAAAGCAACACACAG